AUCCAGAUGACGAGUGCCAAACAGGGCGAAAUGUGCGUUAUCCUGGAU
Molecule: non-coding RNA, 48 nt
Filed under: Trichobilharzia regenti
Lineage: Eukaryota; Metazoa; Platyhelminthes; Trematoda; Strigeidida; Schistosomatidae
Source: RNAcentral